RNAcentral lists this long non-coding RNA (3456 nucleotides) under Fragaria vesca (wild strawberry). RNAcentral describes it as "long non-coding RNA (FVES_LNC001241)". Lineage: Eukaryota; Viridiplantae; Streptophyta; Magnoliopsida; Rosales; Rosaceae. The record is from RNAcentral.
ACUCAAUAUCGAGUGAAUAAUAUUCAUCAGUUCAUCCAUCAAUAUUUAGUGUACAAUACACUGAUACAAAGAAGCACGAAAUUAAUACAACACUAGACGCAGCAAAAACAGUGCAAGCGCACACAAGAAGUAACAAGUAAGGGCACAUAAAGGAAAAGCACAAUCAUUCAUUAGGUUUUCGAAGGAUCGAUCACCGAGUGUCUCAUUGUCUAAGCUGGGCAGGAAUAAAGGCACACUCAGGAAGAGCAGAGCUCUGACAACCAUCAUAUUUCCUCUAUGAGGAAGAAAAUCAGACUUCUAUACAUGUCACUUAAUUAACAACCAAACUAGCUUAUGCAUGUGUGCAAGCAACAUUAUGUGCUGAUCAGCAGGACCGGGCGACCGGCAUAGCUCCAACAACAUUAAGAUCAGCAGCUACGCAGUUCAAUGGUGUCGGGUACGUACAGUAUAUAGAAGAUUGAACAAAAGAGUUGGUUAGAAUAAGAGUUGGCAACAUAAGUGCAGCUUAUAGGAUGCAGUAUGUACACUAGUUAAUGAAUGUAGUGAAAGACUGGUGCUCACCAUUUUCAUUUUUGAAAUAAGUACGGUUGCAGUAUCAGUGUCGGCAUACAACUAUAUAGCAGGCUCUUCAGGUAACAAUGUUUCAGGAGUUGUCUGAUCCUUGAAAAUAAACAUAGAGUUGUUAUUUAUUUUGAUAAGCCAGCUAAGAUUGACUAUCUAUCACCUUACAGUGAGAAAUUGCCCAUGAAUUUUCAAUGGAAAAAGUUCCGAAAGAAAUUAUCCAAGAACAUGUUAGAGAAGAAAUUGUUUAUGUUGAUAUGGUUAUCAAUGUGGAAGAAAACAUGCAGCCUCAAGUAAAUCAUUCAGAAUCAGAUAUCAAUAAAUAAUGCAAUUCUAAAUUCCUAGAAGAAUUCGUCCAAGUUGCAUAUGACAAACUCAUCUUUGACGUUGAGUUCAUGAUUGUGUCAUUAGAAUAUGACACGACUCACCCCAAAUUUCACCAUGAAACCCAGAGUAAGUCGUGCGGGGACCACCUUCAAGGAAAAUUUACCGAAAAAUCGGCAUAACCUCCCUUGAAAAUGAACAACCCUUCCUAAUAAUACCUGCAAACACUUCUGAAAAUUUAAAUCCAACCUUAAACUCCUGGAGCCUCCGUGCUCCCCAAAUCACAACACCACCCAAAUUAUUUACUAAUCUAAACAAAUAUCAUAUCCAACCAUUUACAGGUUCAGAGCAACUCUAACAGGAAGAAAGGAAACAUAAUAAAUUAACAAGCGGAAGCUAUAUGAUGACUAUGCCUCAUCCCCAUGUACGCCUGACCUCAACUAUGCAAUCCUGCAAACUGGGCAUUUUUAAAACAAAGAGCCCAGGGAAAAACAUUUGAAACACAUUAGAGUGAGUGGACAAAAAUAAAUUAACGAAUAAAAUAUUUAUGUUUCCCCAAAUCAAUUUCCAAAGAAAAUCGAAUGUAUGCUGCAAGCGAUAAAACUUUUAUCUCAUAAAUGUCGAGCCUCUCAGGCUCUAUAAUAUAUGUAUGUAUUUACAGACGUCCAUACUCCCUAUAUAAAUUAAUGGGUCUAUAUAGGGCUACUACGCUCGCGUCCAACGCUCACGUCACGCCUUAAUGCGGUGCUACACUACGCCAUUAAGGUGGACAGACGGGUGUAUAAAUAUGUGCUCAUACCCCCUAUAUGAAUUAAACACUCAUAUAGGGCUACUACGCUCGCGUCCAACGCUCACGUCACACCAUAAUGCGGCUAUAUGCUACGCCAUUAAGGUGGACAGACACAUAGGGCUAGCUAGCAUUUAUAUACAUACUCUCCUCAAUAUACAUAUUUAUACUCACCGAAAAAUCCCAUUUUUCGGUAACUCUUCAAGAGAAAUAAAAGCGUCACAAUUAAAUGACGUCAAAACUCCAAUAAUUUUAAAUGUUCAACCAAAACCAUAGCAUGCAUAUUAUUUAAAAUAAAAGUUCACUCACAACUUUAGGCAUAAGCCCGACGAAAUCCAAAUCGCCACUCCAAAGAGGUUUCCUCGAACCCUGGCACAAAUAUAAAAUUAAUUUCCCAACUAAAACUCCAAUAUUUAACAAAAUAGGCAAAAUUAACCGAGGGUCAUAGCUACGCUCAUCAUUGCCUAACUUUGAUAUUCUUAAAUCGAAACGAUCCGAACUUAAAUAUCAUACUCGGCAGCCGUAAUUACAACCUCCCCAAAAAUACGACUUAAAUACUAUGGCCUGAUUCUACAUUAAUUAAUCGCCAAAAAUACCACACUUCGGAAAUUCAUAAACCUAUCCAAAACUCAUCCAAAAAUAAAUCACUUCAACAAACUCCCCUUAAUAUUCUAAAUUUAAAACCCUAAAAAUCUUCCAAACAGUGGCGGCGCCGGCGCCGGCUCCGCCGGCAGCGCCGGCCGGAGGCCGAUUCCGACGACCUCCAAAUCCUACCAAAUUUUAACAGUAGCUUCCUCUCCACUCCCUCUACAACUUUCCUAACUAACACAAACCCAAAAUCCAAGCCUAACUAGGUCAAACGAGCAAAAACAUCUAAAACACCCUAGAACUUCCACCUCUAAUUUCUCCUUACCUGAAGCAAACCGGAGUGAGCCCUUUUAGGACAAGGCAGCUGGGUUUGAGACCUUCAAAACCAUACCAAGCUUGCCCGGAUUGGUGGCCGGAGGAGGGAGUUCCGGCAAAGUGAAGCUUUGGACAGUCGGACCUUUCGGGGGAGAGCGCUCCUUCACGGCAGAGCUAGGGAAGCUGCUACCGGUCCAGGGAGGUAGCUGGGAUGAUGGCCGACCGAACGAGACCGGUGUGGCAACGAACGGUGGCCGGACGGCGGCGGGAGGACGACUGGAAAACUGGGCAGCGGGAGGAGCUCGGGGAGAGAGAAAACCGGGAAGAAAAAAAAAAAGAGAAGGGAGAAAAUGGCUUUGGGCCUCCUCCCCCCAAACCGGUCCAACUUAAUACCCACUUGAAAACAAACCCAACUCCAAAAAUAAAACACCCCGAAAAAUAAUACCCGAAUAAAAAUUACCUUUUACUAUCUAAAAUUUACCAUUUUUACUGUUGUCAUAUUUUCUCCCACGAAUAAUUCCCCGAAAUUAAUCGUCCCUCAAAACACCUCUAGGGACCGAUUAAACUAUUACCUCAAUGACGGAGACGGUAAAAUUCUUAUUAUAACCAAGCUAAUAAAUAAGGUAAAAAUUUAAGGGUCGGGAUGUGACAGAAUAUGUAGAAGAUCAUGCCUUUAAUCCACAUGGUCAAUUGUCUAAUUUGUUAUUGGGUUUUUCGUCCACAUAAUCUCAUCUUGCAUCAGACUCCUCUACUUAAAAAGAACUCGACAUUGAGUUUAUUUUGAAUGAGAAACGAGAAUAUGUGAACGAAAAACCAAAUAACAAAUUAGACAAUUGACCAUGUGGAUUCAUGACACGAUCUUUUGCAUAUUCUAAUGGCAC